RNAcentral lists this ribosomal RNA (253 nucleotides) under uncultured bacterium. Its description in RNAcentral is "partial 16S ribosomal RNA". It matches the Rfam family "Bacterial small subunit ribosomal RNA", at positions 524 to 776 of the family's 1533-position model. The record is from RNAcentral.
UACGUAGGUGGCGAGCAUUGUCCGGAUUUACUGGGCGUAAAGGGAGCGUAGGCGGACUUUUAAGUGAGAUGUGAAAUACUCGGGCUCAACUUGAGUGCUGCAUUUCAAACUGGAAGUCUAGAGUGCAGGAGAGGAGAAUGGGAUUCCUAGUGUAGCGGUGAAAUGCGUAGAGAUUAGGAAGAACACCAGUGGCGAAGGCGAUUCUCUGGACUGUAACUGACGCUGAGGCUCGAAAGCGUGGGGAGCAAACAGG